This is a long non-coding RNA of Carassius auratus (goldfish), 913 nucleotides long. RefSeq lists it as uncharacterized. The record is from RefSeq and is a predicted model, not a curated record. NCBI's taxonomy places the organism in Eukaryota, Metazoa, Chordata, Actinopteri, Cypriniformes, Cyprinidae. The transcript has 5 exons.
UACACAUAUAUGUUUUGUUAAAACAACACAAAUAUAUUUAGUUUUCCAACAAAACACAAUUGUAUUGUGUUUAAUCAACUUAAAAUGUUUAAUUUUAAAGUUUACUUAAUUAUCAAUCGUUAAAGUAACGUAAAGGGUUUAAUUUCGUGAUUCAAAAAAAACCGGAAGUGACGAUUUCCAACGCAUUUGAUGACGGUGUGGAGGGGAGCAAGAGGUAUCAGUCAGGUUUGUGCAGAAUUUGAGACAUCCAGAAUUACCAUAGGCCCAUUAGAAUCAACAAUCUUUGCCAAACUUGAUUCGGACUGCAAAAUUUACGAAGAUGUUUUCAUACUGAAGAAGAGACCUUGGACAAAUAUUGAAACCCUCUUGGUGCCCACUACACAGGCAGGGGUGUCCAGACCUGCUCUAGGAAAGCCAGUGUUCUGUGGGGUUCAGCUCUAACACACCUGCCUGGAACUUCAGACUAAUGAAAUUGAAGUAUCCAAAUGAAGACCCUAGCAGUAUGGAGUAUAUGGAUACAGACGUUGCCAGCAGUCAGGAGGUGAUCCAGAAGACUCAUGGGAAUCUAUUUGAAGCUGCAUCAUUGAAGACAGUCCAGCAGAAGUUGGAGUUUUAAAGGAUAAAGUUCUUCAGGACCUAUAGCAGUUUACAGUCUGUAAAACCAUGUUACUGGGACUGAUUUAUGGACUGAACUUGAGCAACCCUCCUGAACUCAGGUACACAUUUGGAAUACUGAAGAAGUUAUUUCUGGAGCCACUUCCUGUUCCUGGAAUAAGGUUUGAUUGGUUGCCCAUGAAUGCCAAUUAGAAUUGUAUUUGCUAUUUUGUGUAAUUUUGUAAUGUGGUUUAAACUGUAUUUUACUGUGUGUAAUUAUUUAUUGCUUGUUUAACAAAUACACUUUGAUCAUUUGUGA